This 87-nucleotide transfer RNA is filed under the name Halobacteriales archaeon. Its description in RNAcentral is "tRNA-Ser". It matches the Rfam family "tRNA". From Rfam's summary of the family: Transfer RNA (tRNA) molecules are approximately 80 nucleotides in length. Their secondary structure includes four short double-helical elements and three loops (D, anti-codon, and T loops). The record is from RNAcentral. Lineage: Archaea; Methanobacteriati; Methanobacteriota; Halobacteria; Halobacteriales.
GUCGUGGUAGCCAAGUCUGGUCCAAGGCGCAGGGUUGCUAACCCUGUGGCGAUUUCCGCCUCCGGGGUUCAAAUCCCCGCCGCGACG